This 616-nucleotide ribosomal RNA is filed under the name uncultured Russula. RNAcentral describes it as "eukaryotic LSU rRNA". The stretch from base 183 to 336 matches the Rfam family "5.8S ribosomal RNA". The record is from RNAcentral. Lineage: Eukaryota; Fungi; Basidiomycota; Agaricomycetes; Russulales; Russulaceae.
ACAACCGAGGUGCGAGGGCUGUCGCUGGCCGUCAAAGGUCGUGCACGCUCGAGCGCUCUCACACAAUCCAUCUCACCUUUGUGCAUCACCGCGUGGGUCCCCUUUGCGGGAGGGCUUGCGUUUUCACAUAAAAACUCGAUACAGUGUAGAAUGUUACUUUUGCGAUCACACGCAAUCAAUACAACUUUCAACAACGGAUCUCUUGGCUCUCGCAUCGAUGAAGAACGCAGCGAAAUGCGAUACGUAAUGUGAAUUGCAGAAUUCAGUGAAUCAUCGAAUCUUUGAACGCACCUUGCGCCCCUUGGCAUUCCGAGGGGCACACCCGUUUGAGUGUCGUGAAAUCUUCAAAACCCUUUUCUUUGAUCCAUUUUGGUCGGGAAAAGGAUUUUUGGACUUGGAGGUUCAAUGCUCGCCCUUUCUUUUGAAAGCGAGCUCCUCUCAAAUGAAUCAGUGGGGGUCCGCUUUGCUGAACCUUGACGUGAUAAGAUGUUUCUACGUUUUGGGUUUAGCACUGUCCCUUGGACGCCUGCUCCUAACCGUCUCACGGACAAUGAUGGUGCUCUGGUCACCGCCGUCUACAUCGGCGGGAGGCUGGACCACGAAAAGAAAACCUUGA